This 205-nucleotide long non-coding RNA is filed under the name Felis catus (domestic cat). Its description in RNAcentral is "lncRNA (ENSFCAG00000052444.1)". Lineage: Eukaryota; Metazoa; Chordata; Mammalia; Carnivora; Felidae. The record is from RNAcentral.
UUCAGAAGAUGUGAUUAUGAUGGAUUGUGCUUCAAAGCAAUUAGAAAGCUUGCAUCAGCUGCAUUUGCAUGGCUGAUUAUAUGAGUCUUGUCAACCUUCUGGCCUGCUACAUUGUCGCUGAAAAAAUCUGAGCCUCCUUGCAACUGGUUUCUCCCAAGGUGAAGAAUCCAAAAGUGAGUGAGAAAAAGACUCAAACUGAAGGGCA